This 212-nucleotide ribosomal RNA is filed under the name uncultured bacterium. RNAcentral's name for it is "partial 16S ribosomal RNA". It matches the Rfam family "Bacterial small subunit ribosomal RNA", at positions 1290 to 1500 of the family's 1533-position model. The record is from RNAcentral.
AGCUCGGAUUGCAGUCUGCAACUCGACUGCAUGAAGCUGGAAUCGCUAGUAAUCGCGAAUCAGAAUGUCGCGGUGAAUACGUUCCCGGGCCUUGUACACACCGCCCGUCACACCAUGAGAGCCGGGAACACCCGAAGUCCGUAGUCUAACCAUUAAGGAGGACGCGGCCGAAGGUGGGUUUGGUAAUUGGGGUGAAGUCGUAACAAGGUAUC